UUUUCCUGACCAAAGGCCGCAAUAUCCUUCGGAGGCCAACGUCGAAUUCCCGACUUAGCCACCGGCCAACUUACGGCUUUCGUUUCUCACUAUCCUUACGACGAAAAAGGAUUGAGAAAACACCGUUGUGUAGCCUGAUCUACCUCGCACGAGGAAGACUAAGUCGUAGACCUUCGCGGCUAAACACCAUCGCGGAACGACGACCAGAAAACCCCCGACGAACAACUUCCAUUAGUGCUCACUUGGACAAGGGUUCAAAUAAACAAAAGCGUCUGAGUAACCUAUCGCGCUAAGGAAAGAGAAUCAUUGUCUUAAGUAGCAAAACACUGCAAUCAGGUGGGCAUUACUUUUACUAUACGUAUAUAGAGAUCCCCUACGUAUCGUAGGCCUCUUAUACGAAUGAAUGCAUGAGAUGAUCUAACUGUUAAUUUCAGUUUCAUAUAUAUCAAAUGAGUUUAAAUGUUACAUUCAAGCAAGUUAUUUCAUGACAAAAUCUUUGAGUUAAAGUUAUUUCAAGUAUUGUCUUGCCAUAAAAUGUUUAAAUUUUAGUAUGAUAUCUAUCUGCUUUGGCUUUGCCAAUGAUGCAAUCGAAUUCGGGUCUUGAGCAGUUGAUAGCUAUCCUGCCAGGACUAGUGUACACCAGUGACCGUGAGUCAUCUAGCGGGUUGGCCGGUCAAGUGACCGUGAGAGGUGGCCACCUCUCCGGCACACAGUUCCAGAUAUGAUAGAUUACAAGAGAACUUAGACUGCAGUCGAACUUUAAGAAUCACAAAUGAAUUUAGUAAGCUUGGGCCUUUUUAGCGAAAAAACUCCCUUGCUGUACUGUUUAUGACGGCACGACAAUUUACAGUUUUGAAGCAUGUAUUUUUAUACCUAGGCAUACGUGCCCACUGAGUGCUUUUGUACUCAGCCCUGCAUAUGUUUUCUAAAUGUGCAGGUUGAGCUGAUGUGAUGAUGGUGCUGCAAUGAGCGGAGUCUCCAGG
Molecule: long non-coding RNA, 983 nt
Filed under: Salvia miltiorrhiza (redroot sage)
Lineage: Eukaryota; Viridiplantae; Streptophyta; Magnoliopsida; Lamiales; Lamiaceae
Description: long non-coding RNA (SMIL_LNC006809)
Source: RNAcentral